Hyaena hyaena (striped hyena) is the source of this 2695-nucleotide long non-coding RNA. RefSeq lists it as uncharacterized. Lineage: Eukaryota; Metazoa; Chordata; Mammalia; Carnivora; Hyaenidae. The transcript is spliced from 4 exons. The record is from RefSeq and is a predicted model, not a curated record.
UUCGCCUGGCGGGCGUCUGUCCGGCGACCGCCGCGAACCUGGAUGCUGCCGGCCAGGCUGGCGGCGUCCGGCGUCCUCGUCGCGGGGGAGCCCGAGCUGCGGGGCCCGGGUCGCAGGGUUCGGUCGCGUUUGCGAGCGGCGAUGCGAGGCCCCUUGCUGCCGAUGGAGGUGGAGAGCAGCAACAAGAAAAAGGAGUCCUUUAUGGCAAAGUCAGACCACCCUAGGCCUCUUGAGAACUACCCCUUACUUUUUGGAAUUAACGCACUGUGGGCAGGGUGACUGAAAACCAGAGGAUAGUCCCUAGGGAGUCCCGUGCUUCUGAAGAAACCUCUUAAUGAUGAAAGCUGUAUCUAAGCAGCCAUUUCCCUGGGUGCCCUUCCUGUUUAGCAGCAGCCACACUGCAGUUAUCAGUGCCCAGCAUCCAGCGUUGGUGAUAUCCGUGACCGCGUCUGCCCUGGAUCAUCUGCGGCGCGAGGUCCUGACCGACUUUUCCCUGCAUACGAGGCUGCUCGGAUGCUUGCACAGAAGGAAGGAUAGUAAAGGGGCAGGAGAUCAUUGCAAACAGCUGCCCUCUACCCAGAUUGCAGUGCCGAUAUCAACCUGCCCCAGUCCUUGGCCACCACCGUGCCAACGUGAUGGAUUCAUUUCAUGGAGGGGUCAUGUGGACAGAUGAAGGCUCCGCAUGGGCACAGAAGCAUGGCGUCCCUCCUCAAAGCUGACCUCCCUCCACCCUACCUGUCGUUCACAGAGACUGAUGUCAGCCCUUUUAGUGCGCGGAUCUUUGAGGAGUCACUUAGUGAUUACAUAACACCCCUUGUAUCCUGGAGAGGGAAGCAAUUCGUUCUGACUAAGAUUGACAUGUUUUCCAAGUGUAUGUUUACCUUUCCUGUCUGUAUCAACUUGGUCAGCACCUCUAUUCAAGGACUCACAGAGUGUCUGAUUUAUUGACGUGGAAUCUCCCACAUACUGUCACUUCCGAUCAAGGGACUCAAUAUAUGAAAAAAAGUUCUGCAGUGAGUACAUAUCUGUGCGAUUCACUGGUCCCACUACAUCCCACAUCAUCUGUAAACUGCCAGCCUGAUAGAGCAGUGGAAUGGCCUCCAAGAAACACAGCCGAAGCAACAGUUUGGAGGUGAUAUCUUACAAAGGCAGUCCUUCAGGGUAUAGUAUAUAUAUAUUAAAGCAGAGGUUGGCAAACUGGUUCAAAGGCCAAAUCGGGCUUGCUGCUGUUUUAAAAACAUGAUGUUAUCGGAACACAACCACACUCAUCAUUUAUAUAUUGUCUGUGGCUUCUGUUACGCUACAUCUGCAGAGUUAAGUAGCCACGUCAGAGACUGUAUGGUCCACAAAGUCUAAAAUAUCUACUGCCUGGCACUUUAAAGAAAAAGGUUGCCAUUUUCUCCUUAAGUCAGUGAUGACCGUAUGGUCCUGUGUUACUGCUGGGAACCAAGGAGCGGGGAAGGGUCACUCUGUUCUGGCAAGCCACUUGGGAAACUUUUGCUUCCAGUUUCUGAAAUUUUAGGCUCUUCAUUGAAGAACUAGAGGUCCUGUUUUCUGGAAAGGGAACACCUCCACUGGGGGAAACAUUAAUAGUUGCAAUAAACUUAAGACGUUGGCUGCCAUUGGUCAUUUUACGCCCAUUGUGCAAGACCAGCAAGAGGAGAAGAGUUACCAUACUUGCAGGUCUAAUUGACUUUGAUAUUCAUGAGGAGGCAGGGUUGCUGCUACAUUCUGGUAGCAGGGAACAUUGUAUUUAGCACUCAUGUGAGCCACUGGGGUAUCUCUUGGGAAUCCAGACCUCAGUUUUCACCGUAAGUUGGCAAGCAGAGCUUAACUGUGGACAGACAACAGCAUGGUCACCAAAGUCUCAGAGCCCCUCAGGUGACAAGACCUUCCCGUGCAAGCCACCUGGACCAGCAGAAAUGCUGGCACAGGGUGAGGGGAAUGUAGACUGGGCAGCAAAGAAAGGCAAUCACCGUUAUCAGUCCUGACCUCAGGCCUAACCGCAGCUGUGGGGGCUAUAGUUUAUCCCACUAACUUCUCUUUUAAGUUUUCAUAGACAUUGUGAUCCACCAGAAUCCUGGAGAAGUUGCAAAUGGAUGGAGUGAACCUAAUGUGUAAAGCAAGUGGACCUGAGAGGUUCAAGGGGUGGAGCACAGCAGAUAAUGUUGGCGCUCUGUCCAGAUGUCCUGGGUUGGCUUGGUGUGCUCAUUCUCCUCCAACUGCUGCAUGCGACGCUGCUAAGGCACCUGCAACGUUUUCAGGAGGCUUGCCUUUGAUAGAUUGGAGCCACAUCACCAGGAGGCGUCUGGAAGUUAUGCAUUACUCAUCCCUGUCACAGCCUGUAAACAGUGAGUGCCUAGUGCCCGAUAUGGAGGUACAGAAACCUCACUCCCCUGCUAAGGUGGGAAAGAUGGUGGUGUGGUGUGUGCAUAAGAGCUCUCAGGGAUUUGGGGCUAAGGCUAGACCCAGCUAAAACCACAGUCUUGCUUUGCUUCUUCCGUUGGCUUCUGCUGCUGCCCCACAUUCCUUACAGAUUUUCCCCUUUUCCUUCUCUUACACAGUUAGGAGUUUGGACCUUAAAAGAUAUUGUUGAUCUGCUGAUUGGUCUAAAACAGGCAGCUGAGUGCGUGCGUUUGGCCCAGGAUUUCUUAUGUAAUUAUGUAAUUUCUCGUAAUAAAAACAGUUGAUUAUG